Molecule: long non-coding RNA, 690 nt
Filed under: Phoenix dactylifera (date palm)
Lineage: Eukaryota; Viridiplantae; Streptophyta; Magnoliopsida; Arecales; Arecaceae
Description: long non-coding RNA (PDAC_LNC018590)
Source: RNAcentral
CCGCUUUUCCAACCAGAAAUGAAGGGCGUGCGAGGAGAAAGAACCCACCGACCGAUGGACGGCCCGGAUAUCUUCCUAUCCCACCCCCCGUUCUUGGUCAGACUUGCAUGCUACGAUAUUCUACGCGUGCCGGCCGGGCCUUCAAACGUUCCAAAUUCCCCGUCCACAUUUGUUGACAGAUCUUCCAAACCCUACCUAUAUCUCUCGCCCCCAGGCAUCGCCUAUCGCCCGCCUCUUUCAUUCGUCGAAUGAUUUAUUGUUCUCUCUAAUUAAGGUCAGAUUCUUGGUCUUCUUCGGAUUCUUAAGAGGUAUGUCUGAAUUAUGCUCGUCUUUCUGGUGCUCGCUUUAGAUCUGGUUAAUCUUGGAUGAGAUCUUGCAUUUAUUAUAUUUUACGGCGAUUUGGUGGGAGGAUUUGAGCUGAUUCACCUGAGAUUUAUUUGGCGUUGAGAAAUAUUAGAAUCGUGUUCCUUGAUGUUAUAUAUGGGAAGAAAUUUGAUCCGAAAGGGCGAAGUUUCGUUACAUUCUUGCUAUGAUCUUAAUUACUCUCGGUGAAUUCUUUUUGGACUUUAUAUAUCACGGGAGAUUUUUUCCGUUUCUUGCGUUUAGUUUCAUCUUGCUUUUCUCAUCACUACCUUUUAGCUUUAGGAAUAUUGUAUUUUUUUUGAAUUAUCAAUUCUCUCUCUCUCUCUC